AGUGGAUGGGGAGCAACCUAGUUGUGCGUGUGUAAAGGUAGUGCCAAGAAAAGCGGUGAUCAUGAUGAAAAUCAAUUCCCGGUACCCGAAACCGACACAGGUGGGCAAGUAGAGAAUACUAAGGGGCGCGAGGUAACUCUCUCCAAGGAACUCGGCGAAAUGACCCCGUAACUUAGGGAGAAGGGGUGCCACCGAGAGGUGGUCGCAGUGAAGAGGCCCAGGCGACUGUUUAGCAAAAACAUAGGUCUCUGCAAACUCGAAAGAGGAGGUAUAGGGGCUGACGCCUGCCCAGUGCCGGAAGGUUAAAGAAGUUGGUCAGUCUUAGGAUAAAGCUAGCGACUGAAGCCCCGGUGAACGGCGGCCGUAACUAUAACGGUCCUAAGGUAGCGAAAUUCCUUGCCGGGUAAGUUCCGACCCGCACGAAAGGCGUAACGAUCUGGGCGCUGUCUCGGAGAGAGGCUCGGCGAAAUAGGAUUGUCUGUGAAGAUACGGACUACCUGCAUUUGGACAGAAAGACCCUAUGAAGCUUUACUAUAGCUUGGAAUUGUGUUCGGGCUUCCUGUGCGCAGGAUAGGUGGGAGGCGAAGAAGGUAUUCUUGUGGGGAUACUGGAGCCAACGGUGAGAUACCACUCUCAGGAGGCUAGAAUUCUAACUUAAUUAAGGACAGUUUCAGGUGGGUAGUUUGACUGGGGCGGUCGCCUCCAAAAAGGUAACGGAGGCGUACAAAGGUUCCCUCAGACUGGUUGGAAAUCAGUCGCAGAGUGCAAAGGCAGAAGGGAGCUUGACUGCGAGAAGUACAGUUCGAGCAGGGUGGAAACACGGUCUUAGUGAUCCGACGGUGCUGUGUGGAAGGGCCGUCGCUCAACGGAUAAAAGUUACUCUAGGAUAACAGGCUGAUCUCCCCCAAGAGUUCACAUCGACGGGGAGGUUUGGCACCUCGAUGUCGGCUCAUCGCAACCUGGGGCGGAAGUACGUCCCAAGGGUUGGGCUGUUCGCCCAUUAAAGCGGUACGUGAGCUGGGUUCAGAACGUCGUGAGACAGUUCGGUCCAUAUCCGAUGUAGGCGUGAGAAUAUUGAGAGGAGCCUUCCUUAGUACGAGAGGACCGGGAAAGACGCACCGCUGGUGUACCUGUUAUGAUGCCAAUUGUAAACGCAGGGUAGCCAAGUGCGGAGAGGAUAACCGCUGAAAGCAUCUAAGUGGGAAGCCCACCUCAAGAUGAGUAUUCUGGUGUAAGGUCACGGGAAGACGACCCGUAAAUAGGCACGAGGUGGAAGUGCAGAGAUGUAUGAAGCCGAAGUGUACUAAUAGACCGUCGGCUUGACC
This 1325-nucleotide ribosomal RNA is filed under the name metagenome. Its description in RNAcentral is "bacterial LSU rRNA". It matches the Rfam family "Bacterial large subunit ribosomal RNA", at positions 1561 to 2925 of the family's 2925-position model. The record is from RNAcentral.